CUGGUCUUGACAUCCACAGAAUUCCUUAGAAAUAAGGAAGUGCCUUCGGGAACUGUGAGACAGGUGCUGCAUGGCUGUCGUCAGCUCGUGUUGUGAAAUGUUGGGUUAAGUCCCGCAACGAGCGCAACCCUUAUCCCCUGUUGCCAUCGGUUCGGCCGGGAACUCAGAGGAGACUGCCGGUUAUAAACCGGAGGAAGGUGGGGACGACGUCAAGUCAUCAUGGCCCUUACGACCAGGGCUACACACGUGCUACAAUGGUUUAUACAAAGAGAAGCAAAUCUGUAAAGACAAGCAAACCUCAUAAAGUAAAUCGUAGUCCGGACUGGAGUCUGCAACUCGACUCCACGAAGUCGGAAUCGCUAGUAAUCGUGGAUCAGAAUGCCACGGUGAAUACGUUCCC
RNAcentral lists this ribosomal RNA (400 nucleotides) under Buchnera aphidicola (Aphis fabae). RNAcentral's name for it is "bacterial SSU rRNA". It matches the Rfam family "Bacterial small subunit ribosomal RNA", at positions 975 to 1375 of the family's 1533-position model. The record is from RNAcentral. Lineage: Bacteria; Pseudomonadati; Pseudomonadota; Gammaproteobacteria; Enterobacterales; Erwiniaceae.